RNAcentral lists this long non-coding RNA (782 nucleotides) under Brassica napus (rape). RNAcentral's name for it is "long non-coding RNA (BNAP_LNC026879)". The record is from RNAcentral. Lineage: Eukaryota; Viridiplantae; Streptophyta; Magnoliopsida; Brassicales; Brassicaceae.
UAAACAUCAUCAUACCAUCGUAGAAUUAAGCAUCAUACAAUUAUUAACGUUUUUUAUAAGCUCGUUUGGAAGAAGACCACAACGUCUCUUUUCUCAGAUCUUUUGGAGCUUUUGUGUCCACAAACGGCUGCAAAAAAAAAGAGCAAAUUCAAAAAGAGCACCGAUAAUUCAUAUGUUAUUAAAUACUUAAAACGUGGAGGCCAAGGUGGGAUGUCUCAUUCAACUAUACUCAGACCGGCCUUGAACACCAGUCUCAGCCUAAAGCACAGUUUGUUUUGCCAUUGGGUUUCAACGAUGUCAAUUCCAGCUAGAAAAGUGUUUUGAUUAGUUCAUUAAUCCAUUAGCCUAAUGCUUUGAUUCGUGCUUUAGUGUCCCCUACACAAUGAAUGCAGAUUGUGAAAUAACUAGAUCAUAUUCAUGAAUCUUUCAUUUGAAACUAAGAAUCAGAAUGGAUGUUUAGAUCAAUUAAUUGAAUCUCUAAUCUCUCAAUUAGAGGAUAUAAGCUAGGAAGUAGAAAGCUAACCCUAGAAACUGAUUUGAUGUUGCAGAAGAAAGGUGGGGGAGAUUAGAGAAUUACUUCGACUAGGAUCGAAUUUUGCCGGUGGAGUAGCAUUUCUUGCGGCGGAUCUUCGGGAUUGAUUUAAGAUUCCGGCGGAGAAGGAAGAGUAUGGUCCGGAGAAGUUCACUUCUCUUCUUCCGCCAUUGAUGGAAUUUCAGGUUUCUUUUCCACACAACUGCUGAUCACUUACCAUUCGUUUUUUCCUUUCUUCUAGACACCGUUU